GGGUAUGUAACCGAUCUAACCGGGAGAGCGCUUGAAUGGCAUUCAAGAGGUAGUCGGUUCGAUCCCGAUCGUCUCCACCA
RNAcentral lists this transfer RNA (80 nucleotides) under Harryflintia acetispora. RNAcentral's name for it is "tRNA-Ala". The record is from RNAcentral. Lineage: Bacteria; Bacillati; Bacillota; Clostridia; Eubacteriales; Oscillospiraceae. RNAcentral also lists the same sequence under 1 other name.